RNAcentral lists this long non-coding RNA (1884 nucleotides) under Volvox carteri. RNAcentral's name for it is "long non-coding RNA (VCAR_LNC002130)". The record is from RNAcentral. Lineage: Eukaryota; Viridiplantae; Chlorophyta; Chlorophyceae; Chlamydomonadales; Volvocaceae.
CCACUGGCCCAAAUGAGGGUAUCGGCGCCUGUUUGUGCGCUGACUCUAGCAAGGAAAACGUCUGUCUAGGUUAGUCAACGAACCUACGGCCUAACAGCAUAAUGCGCUGUACGGCGUGUAACGUUAAGCCCGAGAAACAAGGCUUUGUUAGCGUUGCCGUACGGGUAUAGCCAGCGCUACCAGAGCUACCAACCCAAAAGGGCGGCAAAACGCAUUGUCUCGCUUGACCGUCCGCAUUGCCUAGUGUUUUAAAUGUUAUUCUUCUUUCUGUACUUUAGCCUUGGGACAAGAACGGCAAAGACCGGCUCUCCACUACCCAUGGACAUUCCGAAAAGACUUCAGCCAGCAAAAUCAGCAUCCACUGACACUGCGACUAAUGUGAAUACAUCUACGCUAUUUGGGGCAUGGACUUACGACUUAUUGGGGUUGAUUUUUUCAGCCUCUAUGUCAUGUUUUUCCCCGUCAGUUGCAGCCUGAAACUUGGACGUGCCUUGUCCGUAGAAGUGAGCCAUUUCAUAGCAAUGCAUAUGCGGGUAAAAAUCUGGUCUUUUAUGAACGUCGGUUCUGUGAACGUCUCGUUGUUCACAUCAGCUGCAACUGCUUUUCCACAUCGCUGUGAAAUUACCGAUGGAAUCGUUAUUGGUAUAAUGUCCCUGUUGCGGGCUCGUGAACGCGAUCUGAGCAUUUGGACGCCACCUCGACCUCUCAAUUAACACAGCGCUGUUGAAUUCUAUAAGGCGUCGCAAUGCCUCUUAUACACAUGUUAACAGAUUUGCUGUCGUUUUGAUGUAUCUCCAUAUGUCUCAUGGCUCCUGGUAAGUGUGACUAGGUCGCUAUUUGAUGUGACAAAGCGACCUGAAACAUGUUAUGCAGAAGAUAAGUUAGACUGCCUCCGUAUUUGGCAACUCGUGCUUCAUGCUGGACUGGUUGCGUCGGUUGCCACUUAAGCUAAAACGGGGCGUGCGGAGCGGUUGGGGCUGCGCUGGUUUUUGGGCGUCGUUGCCGAUACGGUGGCUCAAGGUUUUCACUUUGCAAGGGGAACCGAAUAAAUAUGAAGAAGCGCUUUAGGCGAUUCACGACAAGGCUGCCUGAUGCAACUUUACAUAAAGCAUACUUAAUAUCCUGCUUGCCAUUCAUGCCAACAGACCCAUUCAUCUAACCCCCCACACGCACUGCAUAAUCCGGCUGAACGCCAUCCUUCCUGCUCGCCGCCGUAUCUGGGCUCUAUCCAGGCGGGAUAACAAGGCUGCAGCGGAUCAGAGGUUGGACUGCAACCGCAAACGAAGCGGUGCAUGGGUCGGCCUGUUUCAUAGAAGCAUACCUUCCCUUAUAAAUGCUUAUCGCCGCUUUGGCACGACGGUAUGCAUUGUUCCUGGGUUGACGACAUAAUUUACACCGGUCGUCCAAGGCCCUUAAUCGCUUAGACCCUCAAUUCAGGCAAUUCAGGUAAGACAUGUCAGCGGCUUGGCUCCUGAUAAAAGCUGGUCACAAAAGAUGUCCUAUCAUUGAAGCUGCAAGGAUGGCACAUUUCUGAUGCUGAAAAGAUAAUGAAGGUAGCGCGCAUAUGCUUGGCAGUCCAAAUUGCGGGCGGAUUCCUCAUGAGUGUGGCGCACACUUUCUCUGAGGGCGAGGUCCAGUUGUGCAGAUGGUGCCCCUAUGGGAAAUGUGUAACUUGUGCUCUGCUAGGACUGCACCUCUCAGCCAUCUUCGACCAUGAGCCUACCGUCUGGGGUAUGGUUUGAGUAUGUUCAGGUGCUUGUUAUGGAGCCCCUGCACUUGUGGGCGGAGGGGUUGAGUUGAGUAUCCGCGUGCCUGCAGCAGCAAAACUUUCGUAGCCCUGCCUGGUCAAUCUUGUACGUUUUGACUUUUUUAAAAGCCCUACUG